Molecule: ribosomal RNA, 460 nt
Filed under: uncultured bacterium
Lineage: Bacteria
Description: partial 16S ribosomal RNA
Rfam family: Bacterial small subunit ribosomal RNA
Source: RNAcentral
CCUACGGGUGGCAGCAGUGAGGAAUAUUGGUCAAUGGACGAGAGUCUGAACCAGCCAAGCAGCGUGAAGGAUGACUGCCCUAUGGGUUGUAAACUUCUUUUAUAUGGGAAUAAAACGUUCCACGUGUGGGAGUUUGUAUGUACCAUAUGAAUAAGGAUCGGCUAACUCCGUGCCAGCAGCCGCGGUAAUACGGAGGAUCCGAGCGUUAUCCGGAUUUAUUGGGUUUAAAGGGAGCGUAGGCGGGUGGUUAAGUCAGUUGUGAAAGUUUGCGGCUCAACCGUAAAACUGCAGUUGAAACUGGUAGUCUUGAGUACAGUAGAGGCAGGCGGAAUUCGUGGUGUAGCGGUGAAAUGCUUAGAUAUCACGAAGAACUCCGAUUGCGAAGGCAGUUCACUGGACUGCAACUGACGCUGAGGCGCGAAAGUGUGGGUAGCAAACAGGAUUAGAUACCCUAGUAGUC